This 467-nucleotide ribosomal RNA is filed under the name uncultured bacterium. RNAcentral's name for it is "partial 16S ribosomal RNA". It matches the Rfam family "Bacterial small subunit ribosomal RNA", at positions 28 to 506 of the family's 1533-position model. The record is from RNAcentral.
GACGAACGCUGGCGGCGUGCUUAACACAUGCAAGUCGAACGGAAAGGCCCUGCUUUUGUGGGGUGCUCGAGUGGCGAACGGGUGAGUAACACGUGAGUAACCUGCCCUUGACUUUGGGAUAACUUCAGGAAACUGGGGCUAAUACCGGAUAGGAGCUCCUGCUGCAUGGUGGGGGUUGGAAAGUUUCGGCGGUUGGGGAUGGACUCGCGGCUUAUCAGCUUGUUGGUGGGGUAGUGGCUUACAAAGGCUUUGACGGGUAGCCGGCCUGAGAGGGUGACCGGCCACAUUGGGACUGAGAAACGGCCCAGACUCCUACGGGAGGCAGCAGUGGGGAAUAUUGCACAAUGGGCGGAAGCCUGAUGCAGCAACGCCGCGUGCGGGAUGACGGCCUUCGGGUUGUAAACCGCUUUCGCCUGUGACGAAGCGUGAGUGACGGUAAUGGGUAAAGAAGCACCGGCUAACUACGU